UAAUAAGCUUGCAUUUUUCCAUUAUUUGCAAGUUGUCAAACAGUGUUUGAUGUGCUUCACAUGCAUUAUCCUAUUUAAUCCUCACAGCUGAUGGCAUACUGCUGUAAGGACUAAAGCAUAAACACAAAGAAAAGAAACGCCUCUGACCCAGCCUCCCAUACUGAAGCCAUGACUGAAGAAAAUAAAAUGAAAUGCAUUAAGGGAAUGCCUGUGUGACUUUAGCGAACAAUUUCAGCAGAAAAACUUGCCUGAUAUUAGCCAACAAGACUGGAAAUUAAGAUGGAGGCAUUGGCCGGUUCCGGCGGCUCACGCCUGAAGUCCCAGCACUUUGGGAGGCCGAGCAGGUGGCCUGGAGAGGAAGAGAUAUGGAGUUAUUACAAAAAGGAAUCUGUAGUACUUGAAAACAAGCAAGAAACAGCAAGACAGAGGAAGAUGAAACUAAGAAGAAUAAGAAUCUUUUGUUUUCAGUUUCGAUAACGAAGCAAAUAAUGGAACCGAUGACAGGAAAAUUGAUUCAUAAGGUGAAGAUCAAGGAAUUUAACCGACUAGUAGACUGCGUAAGUUAUUUUAAUGUGCCUAACCUUUUGAGCAGCAUGAAGAAAAGUCUAGCAUUUCCAAAUAGUGGUGAUCAUGAUGAAAAAUCCAUUUAAACUUUCAUCAUAUAAAGACAAGCUGAACGUUUCAUAAUAUUUAGGGUGCAUUUUGUCAGUCUUACAAUAAUUUUAAAGGCAGACAUAUCAUAUAAGGUUUAUAUUGGUUCUGAAUAACUCUAGAAGAUAUCACACUUUAAACAGAUAUAUAUGGAAUAUUUUGUUAGAUGCUAUGCUCGAUAUUUAGUCAAUUCAGGCUGCUCUAACAAAGUCAUAGAUUGGGUGGCUUAUAAAC
Molecule: long non-coding RNA, 885 nt
Filed under: Macaca mulatta (Rhesus monkey)
Lineage: Eukaryota; Metazoa; Chordata; Mammalia; Primates; Cercopithecidae
Description: lncRNA (ENSMMUG00000060478.1)
Source: RNAcentral